Molecule: ribosomal RNA, 466 nt
Filed under: Vreelandella stevensii
Lineage: Bacteria; Pseudomonadati; Pseudomonadota; Gammaproteobacteria; Oceanospirillales; Halomonadaceae
Description: partial 16S ribosomal RNA
Rfam family: Bacterial small subunit ribosomal RNA
Source: RNAcentral
CCUACGGGGAGCAGCAGUGGGGAAUAUUGGACAAUGGGCGAAAGCCUGAUCCAGCCAUGCCGCGUGUGUGAAGAAGGCCUUCGGGUUGUAAAGCACUUUCAGUGGGGAAGAAAGCCUUGGGGCUAAUACCCUCGAGGAAGGACAUCACCCACAGAAGAAGCACCGGCUAACUCCGUGCCAGCAGCCGCGGUAAUACGGAGGGUGCGAGCGUUAAUCGGAAUUACUGGGCGUAAAGCGCGCGUAGGCGGUCUGAUAAGCCGGUUGUGAAAGCCCCGGGCUCAACCUGGGAACGGCAUCCGGAACUGUCAGGCUAGAGUGCAGGAGAGGAAGGUAGAAUUCCCGGUGUAGCGGUGAAAUGCGUAGAGAUCGGGAGGAAUACCAGUGGCGAAGGCGGCCUUCUGGACUGACACUGACGCUGAGGUGCGAAAGCGUGGGUAGCAAACAGGAUUAGAUAACCCCAGUAGUC